This 343-nucleotide long non-coding RNA is filed under the name Homo sapiens (human). RNAcentral describes it as "non-protein coding lnc-KLF8-4:17". Lineage: Eukaryota; Metazoa; Chordata; Mammalia; Primates; Hominidae. The record is from RNAcentral.
AGCAAUGGCGGACUCCCCUCUCCUAGCCAGGCUGCAGCCUUGCUGGUCGAUCUCAGAGUGCUGUGCUAGCCGUCAUCAAGGCUCCAUGGACAUGGGACCCGCCAAGCCCGGCACUGGAGAGAAUCGCCUGAUCUGCGGGUUGCUGAGACUGUGGGAAAAGCACAGUAUUUGGAUGGGAGUUUCCCAUUUUUUCCAGCAGUUUGAUUAUAAUGUAUCUAGUUGUGGAGCUCUUUGAGUUUAUUCUACUUGGAGUUCAUUGGCCUUCUGGAUGUGUAGAUUCAACAGUCUAUCAAAUUUGGUAUUUUACCAUUCAGAACAUACACAUGGGCAAAGACUUCAUGAC